This 358-nucleotide unclassified non-coding RNA is filed under the name soil metagenome. RNAcentral's name for it is "partial contains 5.8S ribosomal RNA, internal transcribed spacer 2, and large subunit ribosomal RNA". The stretch from base 1 to 120 matches the Rfam family "5.8S ribosomal RNA", at positions 35 to 154 of the family's 154-position model. The record is from RNAcentral.
GAUGAAGAACGUAGCGAAAUGCGAUAAGUAAUGUGAAUUGCAGAAUUCAGUGAAUCAUCGAAUCUUUGAACGCACAUUGCCCCCGUCAGUAUUCUGGCGGGCAUGCCUGUUCGAGCGUCAUUACGCCCCUCAAGUCCCCUGUGGACUUGGUGUUGGGGAUCGGCGAGGCUGGUUUUCCAGCACAGCCGUCCCUUAAAUUAAUUGGCGGUCUCGCCGUGGCCCUCCUCUGCGCAGUAGUAAAACACUCGCAACAGGAGCCCGGCGCGGUCCACUGCCGUAAAACCCCCCAACUUUUUAUAGUUGACCUCGAAUCAGGUAGGACUACCCGCUGAACUUAAGCAUAUCAAUAAGCGGAGGA